Molecule: ribosomal RNA, 253 nt
Filed under: uncultured bacterium
Lineage: Bacteria
Description: partial 16S ribosomal RNA
Rfam family: Bacterial small subunit ribosomal RNA
Source: RNAcentral
UACGUAGGGUGCGAGCGUUGUCCGGAAUUAUUGGGCGUAAAGAGCUUGUAGGCGGUUUGUCGCGUCUGCCGUGAAAAUUCGAGGCUCAACCUCGAACUUGCGGUGGGUACGGGCAGACUAGAGUGUGGUAGGGGAGACUGGAAUUCCUGGUGUAGCGGUGAAAUGCGUAGAUAUCGGGAGGAACACCUGUGGCGAAAGCGGCUCACUGGACCAUAACUGACGCUGAUGCACGAAAGCUGGGGGAGCAAACAGG